Canis lupus familiaris (dog) is the source of this 1141-nucleotide long non-coding RNA. RefSeq lists it as uncharacterized. The transcript has 3 exons. NCBI's taxonomy places the organism in Eukaryota, Metazoa, Chordata, Mammalia, Carnivora, Canidae. The record is from RefSeq and is a predicted model, not a curated record.
UAAUUAAGAGAGGAUGCAUUUUUAGACUGCUGUGGUCUGGUACUUUGCUGGCAGCUUUUGAAAGCUGUCAGAGCUCUGCCAAGAAAAAAAGGAUGGGACUACCAUCUAUUGGUUGAGGAGCUAUGACAGACUAGGCGCUGUGCUAAGUGAUUUACAUACGUAGUGACAUUUCAUCAUAAGAGCAUCCUGUAGGAUAGGACGCUCCUGCCCCACUUUUUAGGAGGAUGAUAAUAAGAUUCAGAGAGGAAAACUGACUUGCUCAAGGUCACCCAGCUGUGGGACACAAAGCUGCUAGGAUUUAACCCCAGAUGUGCCUGACUCAAGAGUCUAUUUUAAUCUUACACACCAGUCCUUGGAGCCAACUUUUAAUGUCCCUGGAAUUUGCCAUAUGCUCUGGAUUCUGGGCCUCAAGAAAAGAGAUCAAAACAAUGGAGACCCAGGAAUUCCACAUUCCAUUGUUAAAGUUCACGUGUGUUCUUCUAAAUUCGACGUGUCCCUUCUCUUGAGGACUGUGCUUCUUCCUCAAUAUGUCACUUGUGGACCAUGCUGUCUGAGCACUCUCACUGAUCCAUGAUGAGACAAACAACAGAAACCUAAAAUUCCUCACUUUGAGCUCAUGUCCAAACAGUCAACUUAUCAGCUCCUGAAUUAUUUAUCGGCAUUUGAGACAAUGGAAUGUGGUCCAGAUGGGGAUUUCUAUCUAAUGGAGAAAGUGCUUCCUCACAAACCUCCCCAGUGUUCCAAAACUGAAGCCUGUGGAAAGUGCAGAAUUCUUCAUCUGUCAAGAAGAUUGGCUAACCACCAGUCAAUAAGUGGGAUCAGACUUACAGACUACACAUUCAUUCUUCAGUCACUGAGCCCAGCAUCUUCUCCCUCUGCCAUGUUUUGUGCCAGGCAUUGUGCUGCACAGGUGUUCAGACUCCGUUCUUGGCAUCAAAGAGCUCAAAGUCUGUUGAAGUGAAGAAGAAAAGUGAGCAGAUCAUUAGGAUGGGCUGUGAUAAAGGUACCUGAACUGGUACAAGCCUUCAGUCUGGGAGAUCUACUCUACUAUCUUCAAAAUACCUAUCUCAAAGAUGGCAGAAGAGAGGACUGGAAAGGAUUUAAUACCUUGCCUAUGAUUAUACAGUUAAUAAAUAUUAAA